This 1212-nucleotide ribosomal RNA is filed under the name Weissella viridescens. RNAcentral describes it as "bacterial SSU rRNA". It matches the Rfam family "Bacterial small subunit ribosomal RNA", at positions 59 to 1151 of the family's 1533-position model. Lineage: Bacteria; Bacillati; Bacillota; Bacilli; Lactobacillales; Lactobacillaceae. The record is from RNAcentral.
AAGCAUCGCGCUAUAAUGCAGUCGACGCUUUGUGGUCCAACUGAUUUGAAGAGCUUGCUCAGAUAUGACGAUGGACAUUGCAAAGAGUGGCGAACGGGUGAGUAACACGUGGGAAACCUACCUCUUAGCAGGGGAUAACACUUGGAAACAAGUGCUAAUACCGUAUAACACUAAUAACCGCAUGGUUAUUAGUUAAAAGAUGGUCUUGCUAUCACUAAGAGAUGGUCCCGCGGUGUAUUAGCUGGUUGGUAAGGUAAUGGCUUACCAAGGCAAUGAUACAUAGCCGAGUUGAGAGACUGAUCGGCCACAAUGGGACUGAGACACGGCCCAUACUCCUACGGGAGGCAGCAGUAGGGAAUCUUCCACAAUGGACGAAAGUCUGAUGGAGCAACGCCGCGUGUGUGAUGAAGGGUUUCGGCUCGUAAAACACUGUUGUAAGAGAAGAAUGACAUUGAGAGUAACUGUUCAGUGUGUGACGGUAUCUUACCAGAAAGGAACGGCUAAAUACGUGCCAGCAGCCGCGGUAAUACGUAUGUUCCAAGCGUUAUCCGGAUUUAUUGGGCGUAAAGCGAGCGCAGACGGUUAUUUAAGUCCGAAGUGAAAGCCCACAGCUUAACUGUGGAAGUGCUUUGGAAACUGGAUAACUUGAGUGCAGUAGAGGAGAGUGGAACUCCAUGUGUAGCGGUGAAAUGCGUAGAUAUAUGGAAGAACACCAGUGGCGAAGGCGGCUCUCUGGACUGUAACUGACGUUGAGGCUCGAAAGUGUGGGUAGCAAACAGGAUUAGAUACCCUGGUAGUCCACACCGUAAACGAUGAGUGCUAGAUGUUUGAGGGUUUCCGCCCUUAAGUGUCGCAGCUAACGCAUUAAGCACUCCGCCUGGGGAGUACGACCGCAAGGUUGAAACUCAAAGGAAUUGACGGGGACCCGCACAAGCGGUGGAGCAUGUGGUUUAAUUCGAAGCAACGCGAAGAACCUUACCAGGUCUUGACAUCCUUUGACUACUUCAGAGAUGAAGCUUUCUCUUUCGGGGACUAAAGUGACAGGGUGGUGCAUGAUUGUCGUCAGCUCGUGUCGUGAGAUGUUUGGGUUUAAGUCCUGCACGAGCGCAAACCCUUUAUUACUAGCUGACUAGCAUUCAGUUGGGCCAACUCUAGCUGAGACCUGGACUGGAUGACUAAACCGGAGGCAAGGGGUGGGGGGGAAUUGAACCG